GAGAAGUCGUCUCCAUCAUCUUCAUCCUCCACGCCGCUAUCUAUCUUCUUUCGCAUGGUUGCAUCUGCUUCCUCUUCUUGUUCGCUCGUCUCGGGUUGAUCUGCGAUUUCAGAUCUUGUUCUUUCCGUUUGGUUUUUCCUUUGCCAGGAUCUAAAUGCAGACUGGAUUGUGGAUUGAAAAUUGCGGCUGAAGAACGUGAACAUUGAAUGCAGACUGCUACAUUCGCACUGUUUUGUAUCAGUCCGUUAAUUCUACAAUAUUUAGCUGUUUAGUAAUUAAACAAUGGUCCUGUCAUCUUUUGUAACCUGUUAAGAUUGAUAUUGAAUAAAUCAUAUUUGCGUAUUUUAACCUA
Oryza sativa Japonica Group (Japanese rice) is the source of this 352-nucleotide long non-coding RNA. RefSeq lists it as uncharacterized. NCBI's taxonomy places the organism in Eukaryota, Viridiplantae, Streptophyta, Magnoliopsida, Poales, Poaceae. The record is from RefSeq and is a predicted model, not a curated record.